CCUACGGGAGGCAGCAGUGGGGAAUAUUUGGACAAUGGGGGGAACGCCUGAUCCAGCCAUGCCGCGUGCGUGAAGAAGGCCUUUUGGUUGUAAAGCUGCUGUAUGUCGAGGACGAAACNAGCCUNCGAUUAAUA
This 134-nucleotide ribosomal RNA is filed under the name bacterium symbiont of Siboglinidae sp. RNAcentral describes it as "partial 16S ribosomal RNA". It matches the Rfam family "Bacterial small subunit ribosomal RNA", at positions 338 to 464 of the family's 1533-position model. The record is from RNAcentral.